CGGGUGAGUAACGCGUAUCCAACCUGCCCACCACUUGGGGAUAACCUUGCGAAAGUAAGACUAAUACCCAAUGACGUCUCUAGAAGACAUCUGAAAGGGAUUAAAGAUUUAUCGGUGAUGGAUGGGGAUGCGUCUGAUUAGCUUGUUGGCGGGGUAACGGCCCACCAAGGCGACGAUCAGUAGGGGUUCUGAGAGGAAGGUCCCCCACAUUGGAACUGAGACACGGUCCAAACUCCUACGGGAGGCAGCAGUGAGGAAUAUUGGUCAAUGGGCGAGAGCCUGAACCAGCCAAGUAGCGUGCAGGAUGACGGCCCUAUGGGUUGUAAACUGCUUUUAUAAGGGAAUAAAGUGAGUCUCGUGAGACUUUUUGCAUGUACCUUAUGAAUAAGGACCGGCUAAUUCCGUGCCAGCAGCCGCGGUAAUACGGAAGGUCCGGGCGUUAUCCGGAUUUAUUGGGUUUAAAGGGAGCGUAGGCCGGAGAUUAAGCGUGUUGUGAAAUGUAGACGCUCAACGUCUGCACUGCAGCGCGAACUGGUUUCCUUGAGUACGCACAAAGUGGGCGGAAUUCGUGGUGUAGCGGUGAAAUGCUUAGAUAUCACGAAGAACUCCGAUUGCGAAGGCAGCUCACUGGAGCGCAACUGACGCUGAAGCUCGAAAGUGCGGGUAUCGAACAGGAUUAGAUACCCUGGUAGUCCGCACGGUAAACGAUGGAUGCCCGCUGUUGGUCUGAAUAGGUCAGCGGCCAAGCGAAAGCAUUAAGCAUCCCACCUGGGGAGUACGCCGGCAACGGUGAAACUCAAAGGAAUUGACGGGGGCCC
This 818-nucleotide ribosomal RNA is filed under the name uncultured bacterium. Its description in RNAcentral is "bacterial SSU rRNA". It matches the Rfam family "Bacterial small subunit ribosomal RNA", at positions 103 to 922 of the family's 1533-position model. The record is from RNAcentral.